UGUCGGCUCAUCUCAUCCUGGGGCUGGAGCAGGUCCCAAGGGUACGGCUGUUCGCCGUUUAAAGAGGUACGUGAGCUGGGUUUAGAACGUCGUGAGACAGUUCGGUCCCUAUCUUCCGUGGGUGUAGGAUACUUGAGAGGAGUUGCCCCUAGUACGAGAGGACCGGGGUGAACGAUCCACUGGUGUACCAGUUGUUCCGCCAGGAGCAGUGCUGGGUAGCUAUGAUCGGACAGGAUAACCGCUGAAGGCAUCUAAGCGGGAAGCCCCCCUCAA
RNAcentral lists this ribosomal RNA (273 nucleotides) under Pteridomonas danica. RNAcentral's name for it is "partial Bacterial large subunit ribosomal RNA". It matches the Rfam family "Bacterial large subunit ribosomal RNA", at positions 2530 to 2802 of the family's 2925-position model. The record is from RNAcentral. Lineage: Eukaryota; Dictyochophyceae; Pedinellales.